RNAcentral lists this unclassified non-coding RNA (214 nucleotides) under plant metagenome. Its description in RNAcentral is "partial contains small subunit ribosomal RNA, internal transcribed spacer 1, and 5.8S ribosomal RNA". The stretch from base 166 to 214 matches the Rfam family "5.8S ribosomal RNA", at positions 1 to 49 of the family's 154-position model. The record is from RNAcentral.
UUUCCGUAGGUGAACCUGCGGAAGGAUCAUUACAGAGUUCAUGCCCGAAAGGGUAGACCUCCCACCCUUGUGUAUUAUUACUUUGUUGCUUUGGCGAGCGCAGGCUCGCCAGAGAAUACCAAAACUCUUUUUAUUAAUGUCGUCUGAGUACUAUAUAAUAGUUAAAACUUUCAACAACGGAUCUCUUGGUUCUGACAUCGAUGAAGAACGCAGC